GUGGCUCUGUCCCGAGCUUGUCUGUGUGGCGGCGGCUGCGAAGCGGGUACGGGAGGAAGCAGAGGUACCCUACAAGGAAGACCUGACAAUGGGAGGGAAAUGACAUGCCAACAUCACUGCUAACUAUACCUGUGGGGCCUCCUGUCAGACAGGCAUCCUGACCCUGGAGACUUCCACCCUGGUCUUGACUUGCUGGUAAUGUGCCCUUCAUGUCCCUGUCAAUGAAAAUCAGGCAGAGGGAACCACCUUCCGUGAGAGGUGUCUGUUGGUGGAGUCCCUCAGGAAGCUGGUAACAGAGCAGCAGGAGGAUAAGGACUUAAUCGACAGUAUGCACGUGGAAACACCUGGGACGGAGGAUGCUAGCUGAGUACACGACUACAGUGGUACCAGAGGAGGAAGAGAUGAUCUUGGGAGCCCAGCCUCCCUCUUUGUUAUCGGUGGCAGAACGGCUGCACAGAAUUAGAAAGCGGCCAAGAAGAAUUAAGAAGGACUUUCUCCAUGAGGUUAUGAUGCGCUCCGCUGCCAAGAAACAGGAAUUGAAGGAGUGGCAGGACAGCGAGAAGAGGGACCGAAAGGAGAACGCAGCACACCAGAAAAAAGCCACGGAGCGGAUCUUAGAUGUUAUGGAGUGCUAAGUGGACAUGCUCCAGGCGAUACUAGCUCUUCAAACCGAGCAGCUCCGCACCCACCCUUCCCUGCAACCGCUGUCACAAAUCUCUUUCCUAUGCACCCCACACACACCGCCAACACACUGUUAUCAACCUCCUGUCUCCACUCUCUACCCGCAGCAUU
Terrapene triunguis (Three-toed box turtle) is the source of this 792-nucleotide long non-coding RNA. RefSeq lists it as uncharacterized. The transcript is spliced from 3 exons. The record is from RefSeq and is a predicted model, not a curated record. NCBI's taxonomy places the organism in Eukaryota, Metazoa, Chordata, Testudines, Emydidae.